UUCUUUUAGGUUUUUAUUAAAAGUAUAAUCUGCCCACUGUGUAAAUAAAGGGCCGCGGUAUUUUGACCGUGCUAAGGUAGCAUAAUCAUUAGUCUCUUAAUUAGGGAAUAGUAUGAAGGAUUAAACUAAGAAGUUUUCUAUGAGGCUUAAAAAUAGAAUUUAAAGUUAAAGUGAAAAUACUUUAAGGACCUUAAAAGACGAUAAGACCCUAUAGAUCUUUAUUCUUUGGGUGCAUAAAUAAGUUAGAAGGAUUAUUAUGUAUUUGUAGGAUUUUGUUGGGGCAACAUAAGAAUAAAUAAAAUUUCUUAAGAUGAAGUAUUUAAGAGGGUUAAUAAUCUAAUAUCUUAAAAUGAAAAAGUUACCUUAGGGAUAACAGCGUAAUUAAUUUUGAGAGUUCAAAUUAACAGAUUAGAUUGCGACCUCGAUGUUGAAUUAAGAUUCCUUUUAGGAGCAGUAUUUUAAAAAAAAGGUGGUUUGUUCAACCAUAAAAUUCUUACA
Molecule: ribosomal RNA, 498 nt
Filed under: Morulina verrucosa
Lineage: Eukaryota; Metazoa; Arthropoda; Collembola; Poduromorpha; Neanuridae
Description: partial 16S ribosomal RNA
Rfam family: Bacterial large subunit ribosomal RNA
Source: RNAcentral